This 461-nucleotide ribosomal RNA is filed under the name uncultured Glomus. RNAcentral's name for it is "SSU rRNA". It matches the Rfam family "Eukaryotic small subunit ribosomal RNA", at positions 623 to 1085 of the family's 1831-position model. The record is from RNAcentral. Lineage: Eukaryota; Fungi; Glomeromycota; Glomeromycetes; Glomerales; Glomeraceae.
AAAGCUCGUAGUUGAAUUUCGGGGUUAGUAGGUUGGUCAUGCCUCUGGUAUGUACUGGUCUCACUGAUUCCUCCUUCCUUAUGAACCGUAAUGCCAUUAAUUUGGUGUUGCGGGAAAUUUGGACUGUUACUUUGAAAAAAUUAGAGUGUUUAAAGCAAGCUAACGCUUGAAUACAUUAGCAUGGAAUAAUGAAAUAGGACGUUCGAUCUUAUUUUGUUGGUUUCUAGGAUUGACGUAAUGAUUAAUAGGGAUAGUUGGGGGCAUUAGUAUUCAAUUGUCAGAGGUGAAAUUCUUGGAUUUAUUGAAGACUAACUACUGCGAAAGCAUUUGCCAAGGAUGUUUUCAUUAAUCAAGAACGAAAGUUAGGGGAUCGAAGACGAUCAGAUACCGUCGUAGUCUUAACCAUAAACUAUGCCGACUAGGGAUCGGAUGAUGUUAAUUUUUUAAUGACUCAUUCGGCA